AUUGAACGCUGGCGGAAUGCUUUACACAUGCAAGUCGAACGGCAGCACGGGGCAACCUGGUGGCGAGUGGCGAACGGGUGAGUAAUACAUCGGAACGUGCCCAAUCGUGGGGGAUAACGUAGCGAAAGUUACGCUAAUACCGCAUACGAUCUACGGAUGAAAGCGGGGGAUCGCAAGACCUCGCGCGAAUGGAGCGGCCGAUGUCAGAUUAGGUAGUUGGUGGGGUAAAGGCUCACCAAGCCAACGAUCUGUAGCUGGUCUGAGAGGACGACCAGCCACACUGGAACUGAGACACGGUCCAGACUCCUACGGGAGGCAGCAGUAAGGAAUAUUGCUCAAUGGCCGAAAGGCUGAAGCAGCAACGCCGCGUGGAGGAUGAAAUACUUUAGUAUGUAAACUCCUGUAAGAGGGGAAAAAUAUACAGCUAUGCUGUGUUGAUUGUACCCUCAGAGUAAGCACCGGCUAACUACGUGCCAGCAGCCGCGGUAAU
Molecule: ribosomal RNA, 490 nt
Filed under: uncultured bacterium
Lineage: Bacteria
Description: bacterial SSU rRNA
Rfam family: Bacterial small subunit ribosomal RNA
Source: RNAcentral